GCAGACUCCUGUGAUCUGUUCUCCAGGUUUACUUCAUCUCUUCAUCAAGAAAAGGCAAGAACCAAGAGACACGUCAGCAUCUCUGGCUUGGAACCUUAAACUUUAAAGUCAUGUGGAACCUGGAAGAAUCCCCUCAUCUAAUUCAGACUCAUUUCGAAUGAAGAGGCAUGAACCCCACAGGGGGAAAAUACCUUGCUAAAGCCACCCAGCUAAUUUUUGGCAGAACCUGACACAGAUGCCAGAAGCAGGUUGUAGUCACCGAGUCAGCCAUAACUGAGUGUCUCGGACCUGAAGUCAGCAGUUGAGGGCUCCAGUCACUGUGCAUCAAAUAGCUGGGAGACCCUGGGCAAGUCAGUCGGUCUCUCUGGGCCUUGUCUUUUGUCUGAAUCAUCAGGGACUGGCUGAAGUAUGGAGGCCGACCUGACCCUCAAAGGAUGUGAUAGGCCAGGUUCUGCCUGAAGCAACAACUACAGCA
This 475-nucleotide small RNA is filed under the name Pan troglodytes (chimpanzee). Its description in RNAcentral is "processed transcript". The record is from RNAcentral. Lineage: Eukaryota; Metazoa; Chordata; Mammalia; Primates; Hominidae.